AUGAAUAUGCUGCAAAACUUGCAGGUUUGGCUUCUUAAUUUUUGCUUCCAGCUUUUUUUAUGUUAUUGUCAUAUGAUCUGUAGGAAAAAGAGUUGGAUUACUUUUCAUUUGAUCUGUAGCAUCAGAAAACUUGCGCAUUUGGAUGAUGAGGAAACAAGACAUGUAGAGGAUUUACCGUGAUAGGAGUAGUUGACCUCAAUGACACUUGAUACUGACAGAUUUGGGCAUAUUUAUCUACAGAUACUAAGUCUUACUUUUUUGCCAUCGUCUUCAAGGAAUUGUCAAAUAAGGCAAUAGCUCACUGGUCUGCACAAGAGCACAACACAAAGGAGAGACCCAAAAUCUCCUCAACACAGUCGCUGUAGUAAAUUCAGCAACUCAAAAAAAGGUCAUAAUAGAUCCAAAAUACCCGCACGACAAUUAUAAUAACCCAAGAACAAACAGCCAGAAGCCAAACAAGAAGUGAUUCUGAGGUUGCAGUAAGGGUCACAGGGUCUAACAUCCUGGACACCCACAAAUAUGUGCCAAACAACCAAGUAAAUCAAUGACUAAGCACCAGAGAUGAAGACCAGCAACUCGUCCUGACAGCCACAAACAGCCAAAAGAGCCCUUAAGAGAGCACUAACCAAAACAAAAUUCUGACUGAAAUAAGACAAUGCAAAACACAACCAGACUUGGAUGGAAACACACCUAGCAGAAAAAAAAAAAGAAAAAAAAAAUCCACGGUGCCCAAUCCUCAGUCAAUGAAAACAACCAAAAACAGAACUUAGAUAAAGAGUCAGAAAGGUUCCUGAAGCAGAACCUAUGUUUCUGCAACAGAACGUGUGUGCAAACACCUUGGAGCGCCUAUAGAAAUGCUCCAGACCAAGCAACAGCUCACUAGGUUGAACUAAGCUUGUUGGGGCGGCAUCAGGGAAAAGAAGCUGAAAACACAAAUGCCGGUUGAUACGCCACCAUUCUCUGGCGCAUGAGGUAGAGCCAGAAAUAGAGAGCUUAUGCGUGGGAGCUACUAGCCUCGCUGCAGGUCACUGGACUUCACAGGGAGGCCUGUCGGCAGUUACACUUUCUUCUAGGGAGGGUCACCUGAAAAUGGUGGCCUAAAGGAACAGUAGC
Molecule: unclassified non-coding RNA, 1113 nt
Filed under: Hevea brasiliensis (rubber tree)
Lineage: Eukaryota; Viridiplantae; Streptophyta; Magnoliopsida; Malpighiales; Euphorbiaceae
Source: RNAcentral